GAUUAGCUGUAUUAAGAAAGAACGAAAGAAAGGUAAAUUACACACUGAUGUUAUUUAAAAUGUAAACUCAUUCACUGCAUCUGAAUUAAGUAUGUACCAACUUCGGCCAUAGGAAGCAAAAUGAUCUUUUUCACUCAAGCAGCAUAAAGAACCCUAGAAUAUGGGGUUACAGGAAAAGUGUCUGUGGUUUUGAAGUUGUAGGUGGAACCAGCUGAGAACUCACUGACUCUGGAACAGGGUUACUUCAGUUAUUCUCAGAAGUUAGAGCAAUACCGCAAGGUGCUGCCUCCUGAAGAUUCAGUAUACAUGUUGAGUGAAGUCUUAUGGCACUUAAAUCUGCUCUUGUUUAUUAUAAGAUGAAAAGUAAAUUGUUUCCUCAGCAAUAUGUUUAUAAUGCAAUCAGCUUCAAUUGCUUUUUUCAGGAGAGUUUUCAGUAUUUCACUGGACUGUGGUUUUCAUCCAAUUAAAACAAAAUGUUGAUGCAAACCAAAAUUACAUAUUGAAGUGUUAUGACAAUAAAAGAUGAGCUGUUUUCUGUUCCGCACAAUAUUGUUAAUACUCUUACCUUGUAUAAAUGCAGUCUAGAUUUUGCAUCAGCCAGCAAAAGUAUCUGAGUGCAACUUGACUAAAACAGAAGAAGGAUCUGAACAAGGAUCCUUUUAAAAACACAUAUAUAACUAAAAAACAGUUUACCAUUUGUUUCAGGGAGCUCUCUGUAUCCAACAUCAUUUUUAUCUACAGGCACAACCAGACCUGCUCCAUGAAAUGUCUUAGUCACUACCUGAAUAAAGGAAAGAAAAAUGGUAUAUCACGAGGUGUUGACAGCCCUUGCAGUUGUGAGUGCUCCUGAAAAUGAGGCCCUAAGUGUCUCAGGCUGAUUAUCCAGAAAAAUGAAGAACACACAACUGGUGUGUAACCUGACAAAAUUUUUAUUUAAGUGACUUGCUCAUCAUAUGAAGUUGAUGGCAGAUGCAAGGCCAGAACUGAAUUUUCUUAUACUGCACUCACCUGCCUUAGCCACCGGAGAGUGGCAGCUUUUGUUGCUUCUGGAGGCUGAGCACAUCGUACACCCCAGAGGCUCCUUCCGUUCCUCCAACACCCAUCUCCCUCCUCCCUGUAACCCCCUCAUCCUUCCCCACACGCCAGCAGUUCUGUUACCCGUUCUCCUCCUCCCCUCAUACCAGGGUCCUUCCCCAUUCUCCUCUCUGCCACAUGCUAGGGGCUGUGUCCCCUUUCUCCCUCCAUGCCAGGGGUUCUGGCUGCACCAUCCAUUGCCUCCCACCGCCAUUAUUAUUCUUUGUCCGACAGACAAGUCAUUCAAGAUGUCACUAUUUUAUAACUGCAUUGGCAGGAAAGGCAAGCUGAGAUAGGGUAUUCUUAUGCUGGAAGGUGUUAAUGGAUGCCACCAACUGGUUUGUUUUAUCUGUAGACACAGAGGUGGUUGAAGCUGCUGGGUCUGAUAACCAGAUGUCAGGGCACCACAUGUCCCCCAUUUUCCCUUUCAGCUUCCCACUUUAGUAGGGUUCUGCUCAUCAAUACAUAAAACAUUCAAUUCUGAAAUUUCAGAAUUGAUCAGAUGUGGCAUUCAAAAGUUAACACACUACAGCCAAAAGCCACUGAGCUCUCAUUUUGCUCAGCCAACAAAACUAUCCUGUCUCUUCCUGCAGUCCUCUGCCUCAUCCUCUGUACUUGUUCUAACUUCUAGAGUUAAUGAGGCAGGAGACAGACAGACAGCCUCAUUCAGUACAUAACCGAGAUUCAGUCCCUGAGCUCCAGUUAUCCUGUGCACUUAGUAAGGCAGAAUUUGUGUGGGGGGAAAAUAUAGAUAAUACAUGAUCAUGUAGAGACAGUAUCAUGAUGCUCACAAAGGGGCCAAAUUAAGGUUGUGAAUGCAACCUUCAUUUUGGCAUUAUCUCCCCUGAGUGCUUGAUUGUGCAACCUAAAAGAAUUUUUUUUUUUUUAAAAUGUAGUUUUUGAAUGUAGCUUCCUUUAAAAGGAAAUGAAAUGCAAAUUCUAUCAUGCACAACUGUAAAAAUUCUGCCAUUAUGCAUUGCCACUAAGGUUUGAACCAUGGAUGUUCAGCACUGCGGCACAGACUUCUACAACUUGAGCUAUGGGACUUUAUUAGCUGAAAGCAGGAGAAGGCUAUUUUCAAUGAACCUGCCAUUACAUAAGGUAGAGAUAGACACUCUUGGUUUAGUAAAAUGUUCUGCAUAUGAAUUCCUUUCACCAUUGUGUUUCAUCCCCCUUCAAAAGUUCAUUUCAAAAUGCAACCUGCAGUCAUUCUGACAAGCAAUUUUUAUUUUUUUUAAAUCAUGGCUUCUGUUAAUGCCUCUAUCAUCAUUUUCUACUGAAAUGCUCUGUUCCUACAGAAACAACACACUGGAUUUUAAAAAGAAAAGCAACCCCAGCUAUUUUAGUACAACCACAAAGUUCAAGGCUGAUCAGCCAAUUUACUCUGGGUCUAGUAAUCUUAUGAAAGAUACCAAUCUUUGUAGAUGUUUCUCUAGUAUUAUUUUCAAAGUCAAAAACCCACAGAGGUGGGUGGGUGUGUGUGAGAGACACAGAAGAACAGAAGUAAAGGUAUUUCACAUUAGUACUUUUUUGUAGCUUAGAGGAAAACUAAUUGCAUUUAGUUAUGAAACAGAAGUUGUAAACCUUACUUGACUGCAGCAAAUACAUUGUCACCAAUUUGAGAAAUUACACAGCUUUUCUUUGCUUCAUUUGCACCAACCCAUGCUGGAAGUUCGUCUGGCACAUCCCUAUAAAACAAAAUGUAUACAGACACUAGGGUUUUUCUCUUUAAAGUGAAGUUAGCAUGCACAAGAGAUGCUGAAUGGAGUACUGGAGCCUGAAGUCUUACGUUUAUCACUGGACAGUUAAAAGCACAGGCAACAACAAUGUGAACCUCCCCUUACUUCCAUGCGCCUUUGUAGCCCCCCCCCCCCGCACCACACACACACACACACACUUCAGUCUCCAAUCUUUGCCUCUCAGAGAAUGCCACUUAGAAUAACGAUUAAUUAGUCACUGCAAACAGCAGAGACCACCAAGAGCAUAAAUUCAGUAUUGAAUCACACUAGAUUCACAUGCACAACUUUAAGUAUUUGAAUACAGAAUAAUUAUACCAGAGCCACUUCUUUAGCUGGAGCAGCAGAGAGAUCUUGACAAGAAGUGGCUCUGUGCAGAAGAAAUAAGGCAGAAGCAUAUAUUUCCAGAGUUGCUGGGUACACUCAAGUAUAGAAAAGGAAAAACAAAAACACACAGUUCUCUUCCCCAUUAUCCAACCCCAGCAGCAGAUAACCAUUUGCACCAGAACAUCAUGGCAAUAAUUAAAAACAUCAUUACAAUUAAAACAGGGUUUGUUUGGGUUUUAGAUAGUCUUUAACACUCAUCACCAGUCCUUUCAAUACAUUUUGCCCUAUAAUGUUAACUACUAAAAAUGACAACUAAAGUGUCAUCUAUCUGAUGGAAGGGGGUAAGAAGUAGAGGUUCUAUCAUUUGACAACAGCGCAGAGUUCUUACACUACACACAUAAAUGGAAAUGGAGAAAAAGAUACACACAUUUAUUAUAGGAGGACCAUAUAUAAAAUGUAAUACCUGAAAUAUCCCAUGUGAUAUUGAGUUUUGCUAUCCCCAGCAAUUAUAGUCUGAAAUUCAGGAGGGUCAUAAAAAAACCUCCAGUGAAGGUUGAAGUUCAGAUCUGCUGAUUUUGUUUUUUUGUGUUUUCCAGCAAGAAUAUCAUAUGGUCCAACUAGCU
Long non-coding RNA from Chelonia mydas (Green sea turtle), 3760 nucleotides. RefSeq lists it as uncharacterized. The transcript has 2 exons. The record is from RefSeq and is a predicted model, not a curated record. NCBI's taxonomy places the organism in Eukaryota, Metazoa, Chordata, Testudines, Cheloniidae.